GAAUGUGAGGGUGACCUGGCUGUGACCCUGCCACCCCAUUGAUUGCCAGGGCCAUUAGACUGAUGUGGUGGCCCGGUGUCUUCUUUCUCUCUCACCUCUGCAUACGUCAUCUCGUCUCGGCUUCAGACAACAGGAAUGACCUUCCUGAUAACAGAGUGUUCAUUCUCGAUGAGCCCAGGGGGGUGUGAACGCUGACUGCUCAGUGAGACUUCCAAUGGGGGCUUUUUCUGUGACCCCACGAUGCCUCCCAUA
Molecule: small RNA, 252 nt
Filed under: Otolemur garnettii (small-eared galago)
Lineage: Eukaryota; Metazoa; Chordata; Mammalia; Primates; Galagidae
Description: 7SK RNA (ENSOGAG00000031723.1)
Rfam family: 7SK RNA (bases 1-172)
About the family: 7SK was discovered as an abundant small nuclear RNA in the mid-70s but a possible function has only recently been suggested. Two independent studies have found that 7SK RNA binds the CDK9/cyclin T complex (known as elongation factor P-TEFb).
Source: RNAcentral